UUUUUUUUGAACCUAUUGAACAUGUUGUGACUACGUAUUAAAAACAUACUCCAUAUCUCUUUAAUAGAUUAGAUGUAUAUGACUUUCAUUAAAAAUACAAUUAUCAUCUAAUUCUUAGACUAUUAGACUGGAUUAAUGUCAACAUACCUCAUAUUGACAAUUCUAUGAUUUAACCUAAUUCAUACACGAUUUUUUUGAAAUCAAUUUCCAAUUCAUUCUUCUACAGUAAAACAACAAUUCAUUGUAGGCCACCACAGUGUUUGUGCAUAUCAUCAUCAUCUAUCAACAAUCGCGAUUUGUUCUGUAGAGUAGAAAAACCCUAGACAGCUUGGAGAUGUCUUCUGAGUUUCUGGGUUUCCUAAGAAUCCAGACCUUACUCUUCCUGAUCUUAACUAUGAUUGCAACAGGUUGGAGUCAUCGAUAGCGUCGAGAUCAUACAUAUUCAUCACUAGAAGCAUCAUCCACUAAUUACAACAAUUCCCUUGAGUAGCUGGAUCAGACUGUGAACAAGGAGAUGCUUCCACUGUCGUCAAGUUGCAGAAUGCAAUAAAGUUAAACGGUGGAGGUGUUUUGAUUUUUUUUAUCUUGGCUCUGUUGUGUUCGGUUCGUUGGUUUGUGUUUGGUUGGAUCUCAUAAUAGGUAAAUAGAAAAGUUACAGUUUUCUGAUCAAUCAAGUUGACAUAAAGAAGUUUAGUUGUUGAGCUAGUCGAGUUAGUAGAGAAAUAUGGUUUUGAUAAUCAGUUGUGGUGAGAUUACCAGAAGGAAUCUCCUUUAGAGUGGAUUUGAAGUUUGAUUAGUGAUGAAAGAUGGUUUAGGAGGUGCUUAAGGCUGUUGAGUCUUGAGCUCAGAACAAAUAUAUAUGAUUGAUAGUUUAGGGAAACCCAAGAAAAAAUCGAGCUAAAGUUUUGGGUUUUUUCUUUGUUCUUGAUGUUUUCCUAAGAAGCAAUAGAGAAUGAGUGUUUUUUGUGUGCUAGAGAAUGAAAGUCAUUGACUUUAUUACUAAUGUACAGUCAUCUGCACCGCUUAUUUUUGGAAGAACCUUGCUGCUGUCAAUCAAGUUCGUGUAAAAAAUGAGUGAAAAAAAUUUGGCUCUCUAGAAGAUUUGGUGAAAAAAAUGAGUAAAGCUUUGUAGUGGGUUAUUGCCCAAAGCUAGACAUGAGCUCCUCAAAGAUUGACAAGCAUGCUCUGUUUGAGCAAGCUCGCAAAAACAUAUAUAUGCAGUUCCAGAUGCAACGGUCUACUGCUUAAAAGUUUCUUGCAGAUUGUUUCAUAUGGAAAGUUUUUACAACAAAAAGGAUCCACAUGAAGUCAUGCAUGCAACAUAUCAGUAGCCUCAAAAAGAUUAAAGUAAUUGUAAAUCAUUUGUUAAUAACAGAUGUAUAGGUGAGUUACAGGACCCCACUGUUCAUCAGUGGGAAGAUCUCACAACAAUUCACACUUCUUGAUUGCUAUUUGUUUGUAAAAUUUUCCAAAAGUUUCAAAAUGUAAAUUUAUACGAGGUUGUAAUAUUCUUUUGAUAUUCUAGCAUUUUCUGUUUUUUUUUUCUUUAAGCUCUUUUAACUACGGAUCAACAAAAUUUACAAGUGUAAAACGUGAGUUUAUCUUCAAAAUUUUAUAAAAAACUAAUAUGUAUGUAUUCAAAAUAUUAUUAAAUUAUAUAUAUGAAAACGAUUGUUUCUAUGAUAAAACAUUUUAAACUAUUAAACAAAUAUGUAAAAAUAUUUUCAAAAACAUGUAUAGCAUUAACUUAUACAUAUUACAUAUAAAUUUGUCUGAUAAAAAAAACAUUUGACACGAAAAGUGUGUACAAAAAAGUCCAAAAUGAUACAAAACCAAAAUAACAAAACCUAAACCUAAACCAAACCUAAAUUCAUAAAUAACUGAACAAUUACUAUAUUUCUUGAACCAAAAAUCAAAAUCCACAACCGAACCGGUGCCAAAUCAAAAAAUAAAACAAAUAAUUUUAACACGAACCGAAUUUUAUAAAGUA
Molecule: long non-coding RNA, 1990 nt
Organism: Brassica napus (rape)
Lineage: Eukaryota; Viridiplantae; Streptophyta; Magnoliopsida; Brassicales; Brassicaceae
Exons: 3
Source: RefSeq, a predicted model, not a curated record